UACGUAGGUGGCAAGCGUUGUCCGGAAUUAUUGGGCGUAAAGCGUGCGUAGGCGGUUCGUUAAGUUCGUUGUGAAAGCCCCGGGCUCAACCUGGGAAUGGCAAUGGAAACUGGCGGGCUUGAGUAUGGCAGAGGGGGGUGGAAUUCCGCGUGUAGCAGUGAAAUGCGUAGAGAUGCGGAGGAACACCGAUGGCGAAGGCAGCCCCCUGGGCCAAUACUGACGCUCAGGCACGAAAGCGUGGGGAGCAAACAGG
This 253-nucleotide ribosomal RNA is filed under the name uncultured bacterium. Its description in RNAcentral is "partial 16S ribosomal RNA". It matches the Rfam family "Bacterial small subunit ribosomal RNA", at positions 524 to 776 of the family's 1533-position model. The record is from RNAcentral.